This 83-nucleotide ribosomal RNA is filed under the name Alyssum loiseleurii. RNAcentral describes it as "partial 18S ribosomal RNA". It matches the Rfam family "Eukaryotic small subunit ribosomal RNA", at positions 1749 to 1831 of the family's 1831-position model. Lineage: Eukaryota; Viridiplantae; Streptophyta; Magnoliopsida; Brassicales; Brassicaceae. The record is from RNAcentral.
GAGAAGUCCACUAAACAUUAUCAUUUAGAGGAAGGAGAAGUCGUAACAAGGUUUCCGUAGGUGAACCUGCGGAAGGAUCAUUG